CACCUGAAGGCUUUGCAGCUAAGGAGCAAACAGCAUGACAUCAAAACACACUAGAUCUGGAGCUCCUGUGCUGGGCAGAAAGCUGGGAAACACAUGGAUGUAUGUGGGGUUUUUUUAAACUAUGGUAGGGGUUAGAAGGGACCUCUGGAGAUCAUCUUGUCCAACCCCCUGCUUGAGUAGGCGGGCUCAUUCUGUAUGGGCUCUGAAUCCUUGCAGAGAUCCGAGAAGCUCUGAUCAACCCAUCUAACAAAGCAAACGAGGAAGUGUGAUGUAGCUCUGGAGGAGCAGGAGUCCUGGUUGGUGGUACUGGAGAGGGACCUGCCAGAUGAUGACUCUGAAGACCUCAUAUAUGAGGUAUGACAUUCUGGCUGCUGAGCAGAUUUGUUCCUUGGGGCUGAGCAAUUUGGAGAUAAUUGCCUUUAGUCUCUGUGCCCCUGGUAGAUGGGGAAUGUCUACAUGAAUAUGCAGAGGAGCCUGUGCAGGGAGCUGUAAAGAGGUCUCCUUUAUUGUACAUCCUUUGAGGGCUGCAGACUGUCCAAAGAUCACUUGAACAUCACAUCAUCAGUGUCUGAAAAGCGUGGGUGCUCUCCUUGUCCCGUAAUGCUGAAGUUUCCCUUUGGUUGAUUGUUCCUGCAAAGCAGCACCUCUGUCACCCUUGGCUGUGGCUCCCAGUGCUAUCAGGAAUGGGGCCAGUGAAUCCCUCCUCAGACUGCCUCUUCCCCCCCCCCAGCCCUCAGAUGUGGAAACAGAUAGUGAGGAAUACAUGUUCCAGAAUGACCACAGGAGACCUGGAGCUUGAAGAGCAGGAUGACACCAUUAUGCUGAAGGAACCAUCAGACCUCCAGGGCAAGCAGGGACCCUGACGCAAGGACCUGGACCUCUGCUGUGGCUGCAAAGUGCCUGCUUCUCUGGGGUGACUGUGUCCUUGAGUAAGCUGUCUAGUUAAAUGCUAUGUUGAUAUUUUUUGAACUUUCUAAUAAAACUACCUUAUUUUUUCAUGUGAA
Phalacrocorax carbo (great cormorant) is the source of this 1004-nucleotide non-coding RNA. NCBI's taxonomy places the organism in Eukaryota, Metazoa, Chordata, Aves, Suliformes, Phalacrocoracidae. The record is from RefSeq and is a predicted model, not a curated record.